AGAGUUUGAUCAUGGCUCAGAUUGAACGCUGGCGGCAGGCCUAACACAUGCAAGUCGAACGGUAACAGGAAGCAGCUUGCUGCUUUGCUGACGAGUGGCGGACGGGUGAGUAAUGUCUGGGAAACUGCCUGAUGGAGGGGGAUAACUACUGGAAACGGUAGCUAAUACCGCAUAACGUCGCAAGACCAAAGAGGGGGACCUUCGGGCCUCUUGCCAUCGGAUGUGCCCAGAUGGGAUUAGCUAGUAGGUGGGGUAACGGCUCACCUAGGCGACGAUCCCUAGCUGGUCUGAGAGGAUGACCAGCCACACUGGAACUGAGACACGGUCCAGACUCCUACGGGAGGCAGCAGUGGGGAAUAUUGCACAAUGGGCGCAAGCCUGAUGCAGCCAUGCCGCGUGUAUGAAGAAGGCCUUCGGGUUGUAAAGUACUUUCAGCGGGGAGGAAGGCGAUAAGGUUAAUAACCUUGUCGAUUGACGUUACCCGCAGAAGAAGCACCGGCUAACUCCGUGCCAGCAGCCGCGGUAAUACGGAGGGUGCAAGCGUUAAUCGGAAUUACUGGGCGUAAAGCGCACGCAGGCGGUCUGUCAAGUCGGAUGUGAAAUCCCCGGGCUCAACCUGGGAACUGCAUUCGAAACUGGCAGGCUAGAGUCUUGUAGAGGGGGGUAGAAUUCCAGGUGUAGCGGUGAAAUGCGUAGAGAUCUGGAGGAAUACCGGUGGCGAAGGCGGCCCCCUGGACAAAGACUGACGCUCAGGUGCGAAAGCGUGGGGAGCAAACAGGAUUAGAUACCCUGGUAGUCCACGCCGUAAACGAUGUCGACUUGGAGGUUGUGCCCUUGAGGCGUGGCUUCCGGAGCUAACGCGUUAAGUCGACCGCCUGGGGAGUACGGCCGCAAGGUUAAAACUCAAAUGAAUUGACGGGGGCCCGCACAAGCGGUGGAGCAUGUGGUUUAAUUCGAUGCAACGCGAAGAACCUUACCUACUCUUGACAUCCAGAGAACUUUCCAGAGAUGGAUUGGUGCCUUCGGGAACUCUGAGACAGGUGCUGCAUGGCUGUCGUCAGCUCGUGUUGUGAAAUGUUGGGUUAAGUCCCGCAACGAGCGCAACCCUUAUCCUUUGUUGCCAGCGGUCCGGCCGGGAACUCAAAGGAGACUGCCAGUGAUAAACUGGAGGAAGGUGGGGAUGACGCCAAGUCAUCAUGGCCCUUACGAGUAGGGCUACACACGUGCUACAAUGGCGCAUACAAAGAGAAGCGACCUCGCGAGAGCAAGCGGACCUCAUAAAGUGCGUCGUAGUCCGGAUUGGAGUCUGCAACUCGACUCCAUGAAGUCGGAAUCGCUAGUAAUCGUGGAUCAGAAUGCCACGGUGAAUACGUUCCCGGGCCUUGUACACACCGCCCGUCACACCAUGGGAGUGGGUUGCAAAAGAAGUAGGUAGCUUAACCUUCGGGAGGGCGCUUACCACUUUGUGAUUCAUGACUGGGGUGAAGUCGUAACAAGGUAACC
Molecule: ribosomal RNA, 1503 nt
Filed under: uncultured Enterobacter sp.
Lineage: Bacteria; Pseudomonadati; Pseudomonadota; Gammaproteobacteria; Enterobacterales; Enterobacteriaceae
Description: bacterial SSU rRNA
Rfam family: Bacterial small subunit ribosomal RNA
Source: RNAcentral